CUAAAGACAAACGUUUAAAAAUAAAUCACUUCUAUGAAAAGGUAAAAUCCGUCCAAAAUUAAGUAACUCUUAAAAAUAUUGUCCUCCCAGCUAUAAUGGUAUAUGUCUCACUCUGCUGGUAUUGAUGGAUGGUAUAGGUCUCACACUCUGCUGGUAUUGAUGGAUGGUAUAGGUCUCACACUCUGCUGGUAUUGAUGGAUGGUAUAGGUCUCACUCUGCUGGUAUUGAUGGAUGGUAUAGGUCUCACACUCUGCUGGUAUUGAUGGAUGGUAUAGGUCUCACACUCUGCUGGUAUUGAUGGCUGGUAUAGGUCUCACUCUGCUGGUAUUGAUGGAUGGUAUAGGUCUCACUCUGCUGGUAUUGAUGGCUGGUAAAGGUCUCACUCUGCUGGUAUUGAUGGAUGGUAUAGGUCUCACUCUGCUGGUAUUGAUGGAUGGUAUAGGUCUCACUCUGCUGGUAUUGAUGGAUGGUAUAGGUCUCACACUGCUGGUAUUGAUGGAUGGUAUAGGUCUCACACUGCUGGUAUUGAUGGAUGGUAUAGGUCUCACACUCUGCUGGUAUUGAUGGAUGGUAUAGGUCUAGGUCACACUCUUCUGGUAUUGAUGGAUGGUAUAGGUCUCACACUCUGCUGGUAUUGAUGGAUGGUAUAGGUCUCACACUCUUCUGGUAUUGAUGGAUGGUAUAGGUCUCACACUCUGCUGGUAUUGAUAGAUGCUUAUGUACUGAAGUAUGAGAUAGAGA
RNAcentral lists this long non-coding RNA (741 nucleotides) under Salmo salar (Atlantic salmon). RNAcentral's name for it is "lncRNA (ENSSSAG00000119483.1)". The record is from RNAcentral. Lineage: Eukaryota; Metazoa; Chordata; Actinopteri; Salmoniformes; Salmonidae.